This is a long non-coding RNA of Macaca mulatta (Rhesus monkey), 1729 nucleotides long. Lineage: Eukaryota; Metazoa; Chordata; Mammalia; Primates; Cercopithecidae. The record is from Ensembl.
ACUGGAGGGAGGACAGCGCAAGGUCCCGGGACAAAGGGUGGCGCAUAAGUCCAGCUCAUAACUUCAUGGGCAAGCAACUUAGGGGACGUGGGCCUGGUUAUAGCUGAGCAUGCCUUUUAUCUUCCCCCCAGACCACAGUUCUUCAGACCUGGAGCCACUUUCAGAGAAGAGUAUAAAUUGAACUGAAUUGAAAAAGGGAAAAGUUUUGGACUGCUGAAGAUGGAAUUCUUGGGGACAUUAAACUGGGCUGAGAUGGAACAGAUAAGAUUUCCUUAAUUAGAGCAAGACACACCUAGUAUCUAGAGCCUGAAAGUCUUGGUCAAGGAUUCUCCCUAACAUUUCAGUUUCUGAGCACUAACAUUCCUGCUACUAAAAUGAAGUGCGAGAUUAAUUUCUGAAGUAAAGAAAUAAACUAAAAUUUCUAGAAAAGAGAUAAGAAGAAUGAGCCUUUGAAAAACAGCCUUCACAAAGACUGGCAUGAUGGCAUGGAAGAAAGAGCCCCAGGUCACUGUCACAUCCAUUUGUGAAAAUGGAGAGGACUGGUGGAGCAGGGUCUGACUGCUGGAGCACCGCCCAGCUGCUGAAACGGCCUGCUGCAACCUGAAAUCAGUUUUAUGUAACAGAUACGGAAACAACCUACUUGACUCUAGACUCCUUUUACCCACUGCUAUCACUCACCAAUCAGAACCUGUCAACUCCUCAAAACUUUAUUAGUGCCUAUGAAUUUUCUUUCAAAGUAAUACAUAACGUUUCUCCUUUUUUAAAACCUCCAACCUUCCCUUCGUUCUUCAGACAUACCCAAAACCACCAUGCCUGUGUUUAUGGCCUGAAUUGCAAUUCUUGUGUCCCAAAUAAAACAUUUUAAAAUUAGUCUAUUUUAUUUGACUUUGACAGUUUCAUGCAGUUUAUUGAAUACUGUGCUGACAGUUUUCUGAGCACAUUUAAAGUAGGCUAGGUUAAGCUAUAAUGUUUGGUAUGUUAGGUAUAUUAAACAUAUUUUCAACUUAUGAUGUUUUCAAUUUACAAUUAGUUUAUUGGGAUGUAACCGAAUCGUAAGUCAAGGAGCAUCUGUAGUUUGAAAUAGUAAGAUUACAUUAUGAAGAAAGGUUUAAAUCCCUGAUCUGCCUGCAACUUGUCUGAGGCUUGGUUGAGACAAUUGCCUGUACCUAUUACACCGUAGUUCACUUUCCGACCCUUCGUAGGCGUUAAAUUGUGUCCCCUUUAGGCUCAAGUGAUCCCCCACCUUGGCAUCCCAAAGUGCUGGUAUUACAGGUGUGAGUCACCACACCUUGCCCCCAAAAUAUUUUAAAAAUACAUUAUACAACUAUAUUUUUCUGUGACUGUUUUCUGAACCCACACCCACCCCCAGUACAAGACACUUAUCUAUUACCUUUUUUUAGUUGUAUAUAUUUAAGGUGUAUCAUGUAAUUUUGAGACACAUAUACAUAGUGAAAUGAAUACUACAAUCAAGCAAAUUAACAUAUUCAUCAUCUCACAUGGUUACCUUUUAUGUGUAUGGUUCUAUAAACUCUCACUUGAAAUUUAUUUAAUUAUUUCACCACAGGAUUCUUGUAGAAAGUUAAUGAGUAGAAGGCCAGGCGUGGUGGCUCAUGUCUGUAAUCCCAGCACAUUGGGCGGCCAAGGUGGGCAGAUCACCUGAGGUCAGGAGUUUCAGACCAGUCUGGCCAACGUGGUGAAACCCCAUCUCUACCCCCAAAAAAGAAAAAAA